CAUUGUGAUUGCACUUGCAGGAGCCAGACUCCCUUCCCUCAUGGCACCUCCUUCAAGUAAAAUUUGUCCAACCAUACCUUUGAAAUGAUAUUGCUGGAAUCAUACCAUACUGGCCAUUUUCCAGUGGGCCUUUCCCUGGUGCACAACUUCACUGACAACUCCUUGUUUGAAGUGGGAAACUUGGUGAGGAAGAAUUAAAAAGAUUUUAAGACUACCUGACAGGAUCGCUUCAUAACAACAAACGGAGCCGUGCAAAAGAAUAUGGUGAAAGACAAGGACAAUGAGUCAGGGCUGCCUUCUGAAUAACAUGGAGCUCACAGUAAUGGCAAAGUCUUCUCCGAGCAUUAAGUGGUAAUCUGGCAGCAUU
This is a non-coding RNA of Callorhinus ursinus (northern fur seal), 367 nucleotides long. Lineage: Eukaryota; Metazoa; Chordata; Mammalia; Carnivora; Otariidae. The record is from RefSeq and is a predicted model, not a curated record.